Raphanus sativus (radish) is the source of this 1280-nucleotide long non-coding RNA. RefSeq lists it as uncharacterized. The transcript is spliced from 3 exons. NCBI's taxonomy places the organism in Eukaryota, Viridiplantae, Streptophyta, Magnoliopsida, Brassicales, Brassicaceae. The record is from RefSeq and is a predicted model, not a curated record.
ACUAAUUCAAGCUUUUACAGACUGACACGUGUCCGGUUGCUUGAAACGCAGCACUUCAUUAACUCUGUAAUCUUUGGGCUUUUGUCAUCCUUCUGUAUAUUUGAAGGUUUUUGGAUUGCCAAUAUAGAUUUUUUUUUUCUGGAAGCCCAGUAACUUAUUGUCGUCGUAUUCUUCUCUUUUACAGAAUAGUUAGGGUUGCCGCCGUUGCUUCAAUCCGACAAUGGAGCAUCUUCUUUGGUGGUGUUUGUCUUCUGCAUAGAUUCGCUUGCAAUUCUUCCCAUCCUCUUCUGAGAACACGAACUGUUACAUAACUCGGCUGCAUACAUUCAUUAUCAUUAAAGUUACAAUUAACUCCAUCUACCCCAUUCAUUCCACAAUUUGACAAUCAAUACGUCCCCCUACCUUCCAGUCGGUGAAUCUACAGAUAAAUUAUAGCAGGGGGAUUAACUGCGGGGACCAACCAAGAUCCUUUUUGUAUCUCUUAUGCCAAUGCUUCCAAGACGGGUUCAUUCAUCAUGUACCAAUCGGUAAAACUAAGUUAGAUUCUUUUUUUUUUCUUUUUUCCAUCGUAAUUCAGUUCUUCUUCAUGAUUUUAACACCAUCGUAAGUUACUUACUGUAUCAUCUUUAGAUCUCAACAUUAGUAGAGAACUUCCACAAAACAAUAUAUAUGAUGAGGCAUCAGAUGUGUUUAUUGAAUUUAAGCUACUUGCUUCAGAUUCUACGUUGAGAUCCGUACGGAGCUUAGACAAAUACGGUGAAGGAAUGGAAUCGAUGAGCUGGGAUCCUGAGGCUUAGCGCAGGGGUCUUUCUGAUGAUCAGGGACUGAUGAGUCUCUAUGGGAGGAUCUCAGCAUUUUAAGGCUUUUAAAGUGUCAGUGAUUCACACUCAACUCACUUUCUCAAGAACAAUUAAUCUCGAGGAAGCUGCUCAUUUCUGUAAAGCAUGAAAUGUUAAACGUGGUGAGAGUAUAGUAUUUUCUGGGGAUUUGCCGUGGAGUCUGCUGUGGUCGUGUUACUGACGUUGUAACUCUGAAUCAGCCUACAAGCAAGAAACUUGGCAUGAAUACAUUCUUUCUAUAGUUUUCUGACUUUUACGUAUCUACCUUUCAACAUUUUUUCAAUUGUUAUGUUUUCCAAUUGGGUUAAGAGCGUAAGAAUCAUAAUAUUACGACUGGGUUGAUAACUCUUCUAUUUUCUUCUAUUAUAUGUUUAAAUUGCAUGAUUCAGUGAGAAAUUAUGAUUUUUGGUUUUGAUUCAUAAAUGGAAGAUUAGUAUUUUG